UACGGAGGGAGCAAGCGUUGCUCGGAAUUAUUGGGCGUAAAGGGUAGGUAGGUGGUCUUAUUUGUCUGGGGUGAAAGCCUUGAGCUUAACUCGAGAAGUGCCCCAGAAACGGUAAGACUGGAGUCCUGGAGAGGGUCGUGGAAUUCCCGGUGUAGCGGUGAAAUGCGUAGAGAUCGGGAGGAACACCAGAGGCGAAAGCGGCGACCUGGACAGGCACUGACACUCAACUACGAAAGCGUGGGGAGCAGACAGG
RNAcentral lists this ribosomal RNA (253 nucleotides) under uncultured bacterium. Its description in RNAcentral is "partial 16S ribosomal RNA". It matches the Rfam family "Bacterial small subunit ribosomal RNA", at positions 524 to 776 of the family's 1533-position model. The record is from RNAcentral.